AUCCGCCGGAAGGAGGGCUCCGCAUUGCCAGUCUUCUCAUUGCCUGGCUGCUGGAGGCAAGCAGAGGUCGGGAUUCCUUCUUUCCUGCUCUGAGAGGGACCAGGUGCCUCCUCCGUAGCUUUUGUCUUUCUGUUGCCUGCGCGUGUCCUGGACUGCUCACGGGAGUUCUGCAGGAGACGCCGGAAUAUCUGGAAGCUGAAAAAUGGAAAUAAAUGGAAAGACCAGAAUAUUGAAGAUCACUACAGAACUCUAAGGACCAAAUCAACAGCCAAUCUGGGUGCCAUUGAGAUAUCUAAAGCGUUACUAUGAGCCGGAUACCCAGGAAGAGGUUUUGGGAGGAUCCCAAAGACUCCCUGGUUGCAGCCAUGUCAAGACUGAUGCUGAGGGGGACCCCAACUGUCACGAGCAACACCUGUUGAACACAGCCACCUACCUGGGGACAGAUCAAGAAGCUGUCACAGAUGGUGGAGAAAAACCUGAGAAAAGCGGGACAACCAGUCACAAUGAGUAAUUUAAUGAUAGCUAUGAUAGCAGUGAUCACCAUUGUCAUGAGUAUUCCUUCAACAAGGGCUGACACAGAGAACAAUUACACUUAUUGGGCAUAUUUAUCAAUCUUGGCUGGCAACAAUGCCUGGAUGUGAUCACUCUAUGACACAGUUACACGUGCUUUCUGGUCUCAGUAUUUAUCAUAAUAAUCUGCUCCUAUAAUUGAGGCAUACUGCCCUCAAAAACCUACUUAUAAACAGGAUUAGACCUGGUCAGAAAAAAUGAACGUACUUCUUUGGGAAGAUUGCAUUGCAGAACAGGCAAGGUGCUAUGCAAUGAUUCCUAUGGAGUCGUUAUUGAUUGGUCCCCUAAGGGGAUGUUUAGCUUGAAUUGCACCUCUCAGUCUGCCUGCCACGGCCACACUAUGUUCAGCUGGUCUGAACAAAAUGGUCAGAUGGUAGAAAUGAUAAGUUAUCUGGAAACAUGGUGGUAUAGUGGCACCUCAACCUCAAAUGAUAUGGCCCACUGUAGGAGCUAAACAUAAGGAUUUGUGGAAACUAUUAAUGGCUCUUAGUAAGAUCAAAAUUUGGGAAAGGAUAAAAAAGCAUCUAGAAGGACACUCUAGAAACUUGGAUAUUGCAAAAUUAAAAGAACAAAUAUUUAAAGCAUCCCAGGCACACCUGACCUUAAUGCCAGGAACUGGAGUGCUUGGAGGAGCUGCAGAUGGAUUAGCAGCUAUUAACCCAUUAAAAUAGAUAAAAACAC
This 1251-nucleotide non-coding RNA is filed under the name Pongo abelii (Sumatran orangutan). Lineage: Eukaryota; Metazoa; Chordata; Mammalia; Primates; Hominidae. The record is from RNAcentral.